GACAGAGGGUGCAAACGUUGUUCGGAAUUACUGGGCGUAAAGCGUGUGUAGGUGGCUGCGAAAGUCGGAUGUGAAAGCCCUGGGCUCAACUCAGGAAGUGCACCCGAUACUGCGUAGCUCGAGUACCGGAGAGGUUGGUAGAAUUCUCGGGUGUAGAGGUGAAAUUCGUAGAUAUCGAGAGGAAUACCUGUGGCGAAGGCGGCCAACUGGACGAGUACUGACACUGAGACACG
RNAcentral lists this ribosomal RNA (233 nucleotides) under uncultured bacterium. Its description in RNAcentral is "partial 16S ribosomal RNA". It matches the Rfam family "Bacterial small subunit ribosomal RNA", at positions 524 to 755 of the family's 1533-position model. The record is from RNAcentral.